Molecule: transfer RNA, 64 nt
Filed under: human gut metagenome
Rfam family: tRNA
About the family: Transfer RNA (tRNA) molecules are approximately 80 nucleotides in length.
Source: RNAcentral
AUUAGCUCAGCAGGAUAGAGCAUCGGACUUCUAAUCCGGCGGUCGGGGGUUCGAAUCCCUCAUG